Molecule: long non-coding RNA, 677 nt
Organism: Oncorhynchus keta (chum salmon)
Lineage: Eukaryota; Metazoa; Chordata; Actinopteri; Salmoniformes; Salmonidae
Exons: 3
Source: RefSeq, a predicted model, not a curated record
AAACAGUAUUAGCUGUGAGGAUGCUAAGCGUGGUAGUGUUAAAAGUACCGGGUCAGAGGGCAGUGCUACUGGACAUUUUUCUCUACUGGCUGUGGACCUGAAGAACUUCAAGGCUCUGUGGAAUGAAGAGGUUUAUCAGAACAGAGAGAGAUGGAAGACACAGGCCACUAAAGAGACACAGGAGAAGGCCAGAAGGGAGGCUGAGGAGGAGAGAGUCCUGCAGGAAGACACUAUGGAACCCCAGGAGAGAGUCCUGCAGGAAGACACUAUGGAACCCCAGGAGAGAGAAAUUGAAACAGAGCUGGGAGAUACAGAGUCACAGGAGGGAGAGGGAGAGGAAGAGGAAGAGGGAGAGGAAGAAGAGGUGGAGGGAGUGGGAGAAGAGGAGAGUAAAGUGCCAGAGGAGCUCAACUUACGUCAGGACAAAUGCACAGUGAAGACCGAAGAGAGAGAUGGAGUGAGGACAGGAGAGAGGGAUGGAGUGAGGACACAGACUGGAAGUGCAGCAGACACCAGCCCACCAUUACAGAAGUCGGUAGAUCUGCACUAGGAUCAAGCAGCAGACCAGGAGGCUGAAGCUCUAACGCUCUCUACUGGACAGAGACUAUUACAUGUCAUCCCUCCAUCCUCCAUCUGCUGUUUCUUAUCAUAUGUAGAGCACGUAAGAGCCAACCUCG